Molecule: ribosomal RNA, 292 nt
Filed under: uncultured bacterium
Lineage: Bacteria
Also listed under: 1 other name
Description: partial 16S ribosomal RNA
Source: RNAcentral
GGACUACCCGGGUUUCUAAUCCUGUUUGAUCCCCACGCUGUCGUGCAUGAGCGUCAGAAACGAGCCAGUGAGCCGCCUUCGCCACCGGUGUUCUUCCCAAUAUCUACGAAUUUCACCUCUACACUGGGAAUUCCACUCACCUCUCUCGUCCUCGAGCUUCACAGUUUCAAUGGCAGUUCCGGAGUUGAGCUCCGGGCUUUCACCACUGACUUGGGAAGCCGCCUGCGCACGCUUUACGCCCAGUAAUUCCGAACAACGCUAGCCCCCUUCGUAUUACCGCGGCGGCUGGCAC